CCCUUCGACACUCUAGGCGGCACGCGCGCUACAAUGGGUGGAAGAACGUGUUACUGCCUCCGAAAGGAGGGGUGAAUCACGAAUUCUUGCCCGUGAAUGGGAUAGUUUGUUGCAAUUUUCGGACUUGAACUAGGAAUCCCUUGUAAACAUGCUCAAGAAUAGCGUGUUGAAUACGUCCCUGCCGUUUGUACACACCGCCCGUCGUUUCUUCCGACUGAUACUCAUUGUGAGUUGCAAGGACCCUUUAUUGGGAAAUUGCUGCAAAUGCUUUGUAUUGGAGGAAGAAAAAGUCGUAACA
RNAcentral lists this ribosomal RNA (298 nucleotides) under uncultured eukaryote. Its description in RNAcentral is "partial 18S ribosomal RNA". It matches the Rfam family "Eukaryotic small subunit ribosomal RNA", at positions 1470 to 1796 of the family's 1831-position model. The record is from RNAcentral.